Molecule: long non-coding RNA, 475 nt
Filed under: Chinchilla lanigera (long-tailed chinchilla)
Lineage: Eukaryota; Metazoa; Chordata; Mammalia; Rodentia; Chinchillidae
Description: lncRNA (ENSCLAG00000027968.1)
Source: RNAcentral
AGUGGACUUCUUGUAAGAACAGGAGCAGGUUUUCAAUAGGACGCCUGGACCUGACCUCAGCCUGCAGAGUGAGAGCUCAGUUUCACUUCCAAGGACCCGGAUGUGGAAGUUCUCACAGGUUUCCCAGCAAUUUAGACAGCGUAAAAGUAGAGGCAAGCCAUGCAGAGUUUGCUGAGCUGGCUUUUCCUCAUGAUAGCCCACCCUCGUUUCUCCAGGGUGUUCCCUUUAUUGUGCUUUUUCUGCUUUUAUUUUGCCCAGGCUCACUCCGCAGAGCCAGUUUUUCCAUCACUUUUACUUUCUUUGAUAAACUUUGCCACUGCUUUUUGCUCUUUUCUUUCAAUUCUAAAUGAGAAGAACCUGGAAUCUAACUCCAGAAGGAGAGGCGAACAACCCGGAACUCGGAGCUGGAUUUUUUUCCUAGACCCCCGUGCCCAGACUUAAGAGAUAUGACAAAGGAUCCAAACCGGGUUGCUAG